Molecule: long non-coding RNA, 904 nt
Organism: Neodiprion fabricii
Lineage: Eukaryota; Metazoa; Arthropoda; Insecta; Hymenoptera; Diprionidae
Exons: 2
Source: RefSeq, a predicted model, not a curated record
GAAGUUUGCUACUUGCACAUUCUAUUUCCUCUUAUAGGUUUGAAAGCGGCUAACUUCACUCUCCAAUAAGACCAUAAAAUACAUCGGGCGAACCGUUGAAAUACACUUGUCUGUGACCUGGAAAUAUUCUGCAUCAACGAUUUUGUACACACACGUACGCGGAUACGCGUCUAUGUGUUUGAUGUAAAACAGACGUAAGUCAAACUGUACAUGCACACUCGGCUCGGCCUUCAGUUCAGCAGCCAAUGCUCAGCGCUGAAGCAAAAACUGUGUUAUGUAUUUGAUUCUAUCCAGAUAAGUAUGCGUAUGAUAAUUUAUGCACGUAACACAUCCCAGGUAAGUGUAAUUGACGUUGUGUUAUGUUAUGACAAAGUUUUUUUUUUUUGUCGCAGUUAAAGUUGGAAUCACAAAAAGGAUUAGAAGGCUAUAGAAUCAGUUAUACCUAGAAGUUUGCUUCAAUAAGAUUGUCGGUAGAGUACAUAAAUAAUAUGGAUUUAGCGUAGAUAAGAUGCAGGUAUGUUACAUUACAUACGUAGAAUACAUGGUUAUGUUGUGGUAUCUUAUGGCGAACGUUAAAUUAGGUUAGGUUAGUGCGAAUGUUAUCUAAUCAGGGUCGUUGCCGCGCGUAGAGGAGCAACGAAUUGCGCGCCAAACAGGGAAUCGAGGAAAAUUAAAGGCACAACUCAGUACCGACAGUACCUUCGAUAAUGACGCGAGGGAAGCUGAACGGCAGUUGAGUCCGUUAAUUUGGCAAGUGCUCUACAGACCUCAAGACGCAGGGACCGUCAAGUAAUCGAAAACGGCGAAUAUGCGAGAGAUUAUCGCCUGGCGGCAUCGCGUAAGGAUUACAACGCAACGUCUUUAAAAGUCACCACCGGCGGAUUUCUUGAAUUAUGGGACAAGG